GGAGAGUUUGAUCAUGGCUCAGGACGAACGCUGGCGGCGCGCCUAAUGCAUGCAAGUCGAACGGUUCCUUGGCCUUCGGGCCUAUGGGAUAGUGGCAAACGGCUGAGUAACGCGUAAGGGACCUGACCCCGGGUGGGGGAUAACCCAUCGAAAGGUGGGCUAAUACCCCGUACGCUGGUCGGCUGCAUGGCCGAUCAGGAAAGUUUCGGCGAAAGUCGUUUCGCCCGGGGAGGGCCUUGCGUCCUAUCAGGUAGUUGGCGGGGUAACGGCCCACCAAGCCUAAGACGGGUAACCGGCGUGAGAGCAUGAACGGUCAGAGGGGGACUGAGACACGGCCCCCACUCCUACGGGAGGCAGCAGCAGGGAAUUUUGCGCAAUGGGCGAAAGCCUGACGCAGCGACGCCGCGUGGGGGAAGAAGGCCCUCGGGUUGUAAACCCCUUUUCUGGGGGAAGAGCAAGGACGGUACCCCAGGAAUAAGCCCCGGCUAACUACGUGCCAGCAGCCGCGGUAAUACGUAGGGGGCGAGCGUUGUCCGGAAUUACUGGGCGUAAAGGGCGCGUAGGCGGCCCAGGAAGUCUCCGGUGAAAUCUCCCGGCUUAACUGGGAGCGGUCCGGGGAAACUCUUGGGCUUGAGGACAGCAGAGGAGGGUGGAAUUCCCGGUGUAGUGGUGAAAUGCGUAGAUAUCGGGAGGAACAUCAGUGGCGAAGGCGGCCCUCUGGGCUGUACCUGACGCUGAGGCGCGAAAGCGUGGGGAGCGAACAGGAUUAGAUACCCUGG
This 779-nucleotide ribosomal RNA is filed under the name uncultured endophytic bacterium. Its description in RNAcentral is "bacterial SSU rRNA". It matches the Rfam family "Bacterial small subunit ribosomal RNA", at positions 8 to 790 of the family's 1533-position model. The record is from RNAcentral.